Molecule: long non-coding RNA, 709 nt
Organism: Daucus carota subsp. sativus
Lineage: Eukaryota; Viridiplantae; Streptophyta; Magnoliopsida; Apiales; Apiaceae
Exons: 2
Source: RefSeq, a predicted model, not a curated record
AAUCAUCAGUUCUACGAGGUGCUUUCUUCACAAAUGUCAGUGACUGAUUAAACCACAGAAUUAUUGUGCGAAUGAUGAUGUUUCAUGGGCUGUAAUUUCAGGGAACUUCCAUAUUGUACAAAAUUUGUAAAAUUCCAGGAAACUUCCUUCCAGAAAAAGACAAGAAUGUCUCAACUACACAGUCCAUGUAACAGUGGGGUCUCAAUAUAUCUCCUAACACACAGAAUGUCUCUCAGGAACUACAAAAAUUCCUGGCAAAACAAACAUUUUAUUUUAUUUUCUUUUUCCCUGCACAAAAUUUUUCAUUCUACUGAUAUCUCAAAUUUUCCACAGAUUUAACAAAUGCAACAGGCUUCAAUAGUCAUUCCUUAGAUGCCUUUCGUCCAUGUUCAAAUUCCAAUACAUUGUAUACAAGCAGAAGGCACUGAUCCAGAAAAUCAUCGAUGUUUCAUUGUGUUCUGUUCUUGACAGCGAUACAGGAGGAGAUGGACGGAGACUGUCCGGGAGUAAUAAAAAAACACAAUAAAAACUCUUCGGACGAGCAUUCUAAGCUUAAAUUGCCUACACACCUCAUGAGAUAAAGCAAGGUCCACUACUAUUAAUCCACUACUAUUACUCUCUGUCUCAUUAUGCUAGAUUCAAGUUUUUGUUUCACUCCCCAUGUUUCUAGUUUGACUGUUAAUGACUAAUACAAAAUCUCAAUUUCUAA